GUCUAUAUACGUAUAGCAUAUCAAUAAGCGGAGGAAAAGAAACUAACUAGGAUUCCCUCAGUAACGGCGAGUGAAGCGGGAAGAGCUCAAAUUUGAAAUCUUCAAGGUUCUACCUUGACGAAUUGUAGUUUAAAGAAGUGUUUUCUGUUGGAGUUUUGGUAAAAGUUCUUUGGAAUAGGACAUCAUAGAGGGUGAGAAUCCCGUAUUUGACCAUUAUCUUCCAACUGUGUGAUACACUUUCAAAGAGUCGGAUUGUUUGGGAAUGCAGUCCAAAAUGGGUGGUAAAUUUCAUCUAAAGCUAAAUACUUGGCGAGAGACCGAUAGCGAACAAGUACCGUGAGGGAAAGAUGAAAAGAACUUUGAAAAGAGAGUUAAACAGUACGUGAAAUUGUCAAAAGGGAAGCGUUUGACACCAGUGUUGUUUUCUCGAAAAUCAAUUAAAAAUGGUAGGGAUUUUGUGUUGUAUUGACUUUAUCAGCUUUCUGCACUUUUUUCCUGUCUUUUUUAAUGCACUUUUCGUUUAACAAGUCAACAUCAAUUUCUUUUGUUGUAAAAGAGUCAUUGGAAGGUGGCUUUCUUUUCGGAGUAAGUGUUUAUAGCCUUUGACUUCUGCAAUCGGAGAGAUUGAGGUCUGCAGCGUAGAUCCUUCGGGGUUAGAUGCAUUUGUGCUAAGCUUAUAGCCUUUCAUAGACAACUUGUUGACUAUGAUCAGUCAUGUAGCUUACUCGCUUAUGUUAUUUUACCUACGCUUAGGAUGUUGACGAUCAGCUGAGCGCG
Molecule: ribosomal RNA, 777 nt
Filed under: uncultured Neocallimastigales
Lineage: Eukaryota; Fungi; Neocallimastigomycota; Neocallimastigomycetes; Neocallimastigales
Description: partial large subunit ribosomal RNA
Rfam family: Eukaryotic large subunit ribosomal RNA
Source: RNAcentral